Long non-coding RNA from Olea europaea var. sylvestris, 2315 nucleotides. RefSeq lists it as uncharacterized. The transcript has 2 exons. The record is from RefSeq and is a predicted model, not a curated record. Lineage: Eukaryota; Viridiplantae; Streptophyta; Magnoliopsida; Lamiales; Oleaceae.
CAAAAUCUCUAUUUUUCUUACUUGUUUUUGGUUCUUCAUAUGUACAAUUUUCCUGCUUCUGUUGCUAUCUUUUUGUUUUGUGAAUUAUGCGACCAACCUUUUUAAUGUCCACCGUUUUUCUGAUUAUUUGAUUUAUCAUCUAAAUUAGUGGGUUUGUUCAACCUUGAUUCGAUUUUAUUUCAUGAAUUCUGGUAGUUCUUAAGGAUUAUUUGAUUUCCUAGAGAGUGUCAUUAAAAAGGUUCAAGUUUUGAGACCAUGAGUAGUUUAUUUUCUCAGAUUAUUAUGUUAUGAUGGUGCUCAUCUGCUAAUGUCAAAAGGUCUUCCAUUGAAUCCGGUAUAUGUGCUAGUUUUGCCCCAUUUCGUUUGUUGUCUGGAUGAUGCCCAUAGAGUACCACUCUUGCAAGAAGUGUAUUUGAUAAUGCCUAAAAUGAAGGGAUACCUGCAAAAUAGAUAUAUAGAAAAAUUCGCUUUUACCUGCUCAAUCUAGUUACUCUCACUAACUCUUUUCUCUUGUCAAUAUUUUCUUUCAAAGAGCUGGCCUUCAUAAUGUAUACCCUGUACGUUUUGCACAGCCCUAUUUUCUUUAACAUUUCCUUUCAUUCAGCGCCUCAGAUUUUCAUUGCUGUGAUCCGAAUUCCAUAGAUUUGAUUUUUGGGUUUUUGAGAUUCUGCCAAUUAAUUGAUAUUCUUAGUAUUUUUUGAAAUCUCCGUUUUACUUACUUGUGUUUGGAUUUUCAUAUGUACAAUUUUCCUGCUUUCGUUGCCAUCUUUUUGUUUUGUGAAUAAUGUGACGAACUUUUUCAAUGUCCACCGUUUUUUGGAUUAUUUGAUUUAUCAUCUAAAAUUAUGGAUUCGUUCAUCCUGGAUUCAAUUUUAUUUCCUAAAUUCGGGUAGUUCUUAAAGAUUAUUUGAUUCCCUAGAGAGUGUCAUAAAAAAGUUUAAGUUUUGGGAUUUCCAGGUCCCUUUGACCAUGAGUAGUUUGUUUUCUCAGAUUAUUAUGUUAUGAUGGUGCUCGUCUGCUAAUGUCAAAAGGUCUUCCAUUGAAUCAGGUAGAUGUGCUAGUUUUUCCCCAUUUUGUUUAUCAUCUAGAUGAUGUCCGUAGAAUACCACUCUUGCAAGAAGUAAGGAUACAUGCAAAAUAUAUAGAAGAAGAAUUCGCCUUUACCUGCUAAAUCUUAUUACUCACGUUAAUCCUUUCUCUCGUCAAUAUUUUUCCACCAAGAAGCUGGCACCCGUAAUGUACACCCUGUACGUUUAGCAACCUUUCCUACCAUUCGGCGCUUCAUAUUUUCAUUGCUGUGAUCCGUAUUCCAUAUAUUUGGUUUCUGGGAUAUUGAGACUCUACCAAUCAAUUGAUAAUCUUGGGAUACUGCAAAGCAGAUAGGAGAAGAAUUUCUUUUGUAGUUGGGUGAUGUAUCACCAUAGAUCAUUUUUGCUAGACCUAUUGGAGUUCGGAUAAGAGAGUACGAGGGCCAAAAGGUUAAGUGGUGGUGUUCAAUUUUUUUUAAUUAUUAUUAUUAUUUUUUUUAAAUAAUCUUGGUUGUAAUUGUAUAAUGUAUUUAUAGGAUCAUUUCAUACGGUUUUCUUGCAAUGUUGUUUGGCGUAACAAAAUUCAGUUAAGAAGUUGAUAAUUUUUUAGGAACGAUAGUUGUAGCUAGCUAUUUUCGAUGUUUCGGGUGCAGUUAUUCAUUCAAUCAUCAUCAAUGACUAUCUAUGCUGGAGCUUCAAUAUUUUUGAAGUCUAGUAAGAUAGAAUCUUUUUCUAUACACUUUGUUCAAUUUAGUGCUACACGUAUUGAAAUAUCUAGUAGUAACUAGUCCUUAAUUUUGAUUGGAAGUAAAUAAAUCAUUUCUUGUAUUUACUUUGUUGUGGUUCACUCCUGCCAAUAUUUCAACAUCAUGGUUGAUGGGUAAACACUCUAACACUACAUUACAGCAACAGAGGUCUGUAAUUAUGUUCACUGUUUGACAGUGGCAGAAUCAACACCCAGCAAGAGGGCGCGGCCAUGUGUGUUGGCUCCGCCAAAGUCACCGUGGCCGAUGGGAGCCAUUGCAGAAAACUUGAAUCAGAAAAUGUAGACCCUUGAGAAUGAGGACUCGAGGUUGAAGAUGAAAUCAAUUGGAUUGGGCCUUUUUUAGAAUUGGGCCUCUUCCCUCUCUUCUUUUUUUUUUUUUUUUUUUUUUUUGGGAAAAAAAAAAAAAAAAAAAAAAUAUUUGUUUGACCUGCCGAUGUGGGUAGGUGGGUAACAUAAUUUUUGCCCACCGUGAACAGGGAAUAAAUUUUAGCAUAAUGAAAUGACAUGCUGCAAAAUUCCAA